Molecule: unclassified non-coding RNA, 453 nt
Filed under: Hevea brasiliensis (rubber tree)
Lineage: Eukaryota; Viridiplantae; Streptophyta; Magnoliopsida; Malpighiales; Euphorbiaceae
Source: RNAcentral
UUUCUAUUAUUCUUUUUCUCUUUAUGACUAUUUUCAUUCUUGUAAAGGCUUCAAUUUACCUUGGUUAAAGUUUUUCUCAUGUUGUCUAUGUUCCUAUAUCCUUGAAGAAAAUUUCCUGGCUGGAUGAUAAACUAUUCUUUUCACCCUUCCGUUUUUUAAACUGCUGUUAAUUGGAUGUCCAAAUUUUAGUCAUUGGUUUGGUUGUGUGGUUUCUGCUUCUCUACUUAAGUUUUAUUAGCAUGAGGCUGAAAGAUGUAGAAACAUCUUUUCUGGAAUAAAACUGCAUGAAAUUGAUAUUUGUGUUUUGCUUUUUUAUAUAUUUUGUACUUGGAGAAUGAAUUUUGAGUAACAAAUUUGUUGCAGUAGUGCUUCUGUACUCCCUUUCCAAAGGAUUUAUGUUUCAUGAACCUUGUUUCUCCGCUGAGACUUUACUUUUUAAUGGUUAAUUUGCUG